UGGGGAAUUUUGGACAAUGGGCGAAAGCCUGAUCCAGCAAUGCCGCGUGUGUGAAGAAGGCCUUCGGGUUGUAAAGCACUUUUGUCCGGAAAGAAAUCCUUGGCUCUAAUACAGUCGGGGGAUGACGGUACCGGAAGAAUAAGCACCGGCUAACUACGUGCCAGCAGCCGCGGUAAUACGUAGGGUGCAAGCGUUAAUCGGAAUUACUGGGCGUAAAGCGUGCGCAGGCGGUUUGCUAAGACCGAUGUGAAAUCCCCGGGCUCAACCUGGGAACUGCAUUGGUGACCGGCAGGCUAGAGUAUGGCAGAGGGGGGUAGAAUUCCACGUGUAGCAGUGAAAUGCGUAGAGAUGUGGAGGAAUACCGAUGGCGAAGGCAGCCCCCUGGGCCAAUACUGACGCUCAUGCACGAAAGCGUGGGGAGCAAACAGGAUUAGAUACCCUGGUAGUCCACGCCCUAAACGAUGUCAACUAGUUGUU
Molecule: ribosomal RNA, 477 nt
Filed under: uncultured bacterium
Lineage: Bacteria
Description: partial 16S ribosomal RNA
Rfam family: Bacterial small subunit ribosomal RNA
Source: RNAcentral